Molecule: long non-coding RNA, 1911 nt
Organism: Homo sapiens (human)
Lineage: Eukaryota; Metazoa; Chordata; Mammalia; Primates; Hominidae
Product: long independently transcribed non-coding RNA 656
Exons: 4
Source: RefSeq, marked validated
AUUUUACAGAUGACACACUAAGGCGCAAGGCAGCUGCACAUCCACGGCCAGCCUCGUUGUCUUCAGGGAUUUGUUCAAAGUUCAUUCUGAAUUGUAAGGUAACCACUGCAGAACACGAGCCUUUCCUGGGUAUGUGUGGUUAUUUCUGCCCUUCACGGUCCCACUCAAGUCCUGCCUCCCUCAGGGAGACCUCCCAGACCUCACCAAGCCGUGGGCACGUGGACCAGAAGCCGUGGACCCCAGAGGCUCAUUUAGGGAUCUGCUUUCUGAACCCAGGUCCUAACAUCUGCACUGCAGCGAGCAUUUCUGGUGCCUCAAGUGAGUCACUCCAACUUCCAGCUCACUGAGAGGCGAUGGAGCACUGAGUGCCAGCAUCUUCCAGCACCAGAGGAGCUGACUCUGAAUAGACAGCUCGGCAGCGGCCUCAGCACAGAGCAGGGGAGCCACCAGCCACAGGCAGCCACUGAGCCCUUGGCAUGUAACCCGGUAACCCAUGCAACAGAAGACCUGAGCGUCCAGUGUUGCUAGCUUGAAGUAACUUCAGUGGUGUUCCCCAGCGUUUUUCUCAUCCCCCUCCCUUCCCUUCCCCUACAGCUUUCUUCCUCUUUCCCCUCCUUCUGAGUCUUUCGUCCCCAGUCCUGGGAACCUUUUUUCUGACUUGGUGUUUUCUCCUGAAUGCCUCCUUCCUGGCCCCCUAAUCAGAAAUGCAGAAGCCACCUGCCCCACACAGGGGGCCACUUUCCCUGCAUCUGGCACUCACCAGGACAGUCAUAGAACUGGCCUUGGGUGCUUGGGGAGAGUGGAGAGGUCUGGGGGGCAUCCACUGGCCUCAGCCUCAGAGCUUCUCAUCAGUAACCCAGGAGGCAAAGGCCCAGCUCAAGAUUAGCCCAGGCCACUGUAUCUGUGCCAAGACCUACAGCUGUCCCUGCAGGGCGUGCAUCUCUGCAGCCCAGGCUAUCACAAUGGUGUCCCUUUUGGUGGGGAUGUGAGGCCUGCUGCUGCCUGGGAAGAAGCUGACAGGAUUGUUGGUGCUGUGGGGAGAAGCUGGUGUAACUGAGACCCAUGAGGGAGGCCCUUUGUGGGUCUGUGGCUGGGAGGAGCUCUGGGGAAGAUGGGCCUUGAGAAAUCCCAGCUUAGCACCUUUGACAGUUGCUCCACUGAGUCACCCUAGACUGCAAUCUCACAGAUGUUCUAACCACCCUCUCCCUGGGGAGCCCUUGGGGGUGCUGCAAGCCCAGUCCUCACUCACUGGCUUUGUGCUUCUCUUCCCGACUUCCUUUUUUUGCUCCUGUUGAGAAAUGUGGGUCCAGGGCUGCGUGCUCCAGUGUGCGGAAGGAAGGGCAGCGUGCUCUUUGGACUGAGCUGGCUCAAGGGAAGCUGGGUCUGAGGGGAGACUGACCUCGACCCUUCUUAAAUGAAACACCUUUUCCCUGCGUCUCAGUCACCGUUACCUGGCCUGAUCACUGUGUGCCACACCCCAUCACAUCCAUCCCCACAAGAAUGCCAGGAGGAGGGGUCAUUGGCCUUUUUGUCAGCACAAACCUCUGGAGGCCCAGCUCCCAAGACCCGCCAGGCACACCUGCCAGAGUGCCUUAACUUGGGAUGUCUGCAAACCUCUGUCCAUGGCCGAACCCACCCCACUGCCUGUUACUGUAAAUAAAGGUCUAUUAGCAUGCCACCAUGCCCCUCCUCCGAUGCAUACAGUGCCCAGCUCAGCACCUGGUGCAAGUAAGCACAAUCUGGCUUCCAGCCAUCACUGCUGUUGCUACUAACACAAAUAUUAGGCCCCUUCUAGAAUGCAAAGAUAACCCAGGGCUGCUCGUUCUGUGUCCAGAUCACAGAGUUUUUCUUUUUAUCCUUAUCAACUUUAUUGAGGGAUAAUUUACAGGCAAUAAAUCAUAUCCAUUUAAA